GUCACAACAAAAUAUCUUAGUAUAUUAAAAGAUCAUAAGAACAUAAUUUAGGGGAAAAUUAAGAUAAGAACGAAAAUGAAACUACACCGUCCCAACUUAAAACAACCGCCAAUGCCGCCCUCUACUGGAGAAAAGCACAAAGACAGGCGAGCUGUGACAGCAGCUUCCGCUCAGUCGUGUAUUUAAUUUGAUAAAAGCAAACGGAUCAAUGCAUCGUCAGGACGUUUUUAGUCACUUUACUUUCACGCUGUACGAUGAUUUUUCAUGCCAUGAUUAUUGGCCGUAAUUACAUUAAUAUAUUCUAAUCAUAACAGGAAGGAAACGAUUCUGUUUCGCAGGUUUCAGCCACAUCAAACUGUGCAGGAAGCUGAGAGUGCGCGUGACGAGGCACCCCGGCGUCGGACGCAGUCAGUGCUGCGAGAUGCUGCUGCUGUGCUGGUCGCCUCUGCUGCUCUGCCUCUGCCUCCGCGCAGAGAACGUCGCCGUCAUCCGGGCACCGGGCGAGAACGUCACCCUGCGGUGCUCCCUGGACGGAUGCGCCCGCAGCGCCCACGGCUACGUCGGCAUGUACCUGUACAGGUACGCCGGCAGCCGGGAGGAGGUGCUGUACUACCACGGCGUGGACGGAGCGGACAAGGUCUCCGCGCGGGGCAGAUACACGCGCCGGGUCGAGAAGCAGGGAUCCCUGCGGAGCCACGGCAUCAGCAUCCGCGAGCUGACGGCGCGCGACUCCGGCGUCUACAGCUGCGUGUACAAGCAGACGCCGCAGGACGAGACCACGUGCAACGUGUACACGCUGGCAGUGAGCGACGCAGCUCCCUCUCCAGCGUCUCCCGAGCAUCCUCCCACGAACCCCCCCCACGGCGACACCCACGCGUGGCCGCCGCUGGCGCUGGUGACACCCGCCGCCGUCCUGCUCAGCGUGCUGCUGACCCUGCUCUUCGUCAAGGUCCUGGUCCCGUCGGUGAAACACUGGGCCAGCAGCAGCAGAAGGGCGAGAAGCGGCUCCUUGGACCCCAGCGAGUACGUGUAUGAGGUCAUGACUAAGAACGGCCUCCAGGCUGCGGCACCCAACCCGUACGACGCCGCUUAGCAAAAGUCCGCUUGUAUGAUAUGUUUUAAGGCGAAAUUCAAUCUAAAAUGCGUAAUAUAGAAAAUACAGGAGACCUCUUAAAGGAGCUGUGGAAUUGCAGACCUGCACAGUUCUGUUUGAAAAAGACAUGAAACGAUGGUUUUUGUGUGUCAGCAGGAAUCAUUGCACACAUGCACAUGGAAAAUGUAUGUAUGAAACAGAUGCAGUUUCCUUCAUCAGAUUGCAUUUUGUAAACUGAUAUCGCUGUAACCACAUGCCUGUUUGUGACGCGCGGUGGUUUUCUUUGGUUUUUAUUAGAAGCGACGUUGGUCGGUAAACGGCAGGAAGCGAAAUCUAAAGGAGAGUAAAUAACGCUUAAUAAGGUCAAAACAAAUAAUAUUUUGGGUUUCAUCGUGUUUGCUCUUGAGCCUUGUGUGUUUUGAAGGACAUAUUCACAGCUGACCAAAACUUCCUGGUCUUUGUUUCACACAGUCAAAACACCAGCAUCGGUGAAAUCUCUUAUCAUGUUUGUGUCGUCUCCUCAGUCCGUUGAACUGAUUGUCUGAACCACAGGCCUUUUACAACGCAGACAAGCCUGCAUCACAGGAAACACAGGCUGUGAACGCAGGCUUUACAGCAUCAACACAAAACACAGGAAACAUCAUCUUGGACUUGGAAUUUUGCUUUUAACAUCAUAAUAACCGCUCAUAAUAAAUGUAGUGGUAAAACGUGCUGUGCA
This 1811-nucleotide long non-coding RNA is filed under the name Betta splendens (Siamese fighting fish). RNAcentral's name for it is "lncRNA (ENSBSLG00000013130.1)". The record is from RNAcentral. Lineage: Eukaryota; Metazoa; Chordata; Actinopteri; Anabantiformes; Osphronemidae.